RNAcentral lists this ribosomal RNA (510 nucleotides) under uncultured bacterium. Its description in RNAcentral is "partial 16S ribosomal RNA". It matches the Rfam family "Bacterial small subunit ribosomal RNA", at positions 28 to 507 of the family's 1533-position model. The record is from RNAcentral.
GACGAACGCUGGCGGCGUGCUUAACACAUGCAAGUCGAACGAAGAGCGAUGGAAGCUUGCUUCUAUCAAUCUUAGUGGCGAACGGGUGAGUAACGCGUAAUCAACCUGCCCUUCAGAGGGGGACAACAGUUGGAAACGACUGCUAAUACCGCAUACGAUCUAAACUCGGCAUCGAGGAUAGAUGAAAGGUGGCCUCUACAUGUAAGCUAUCACUGAAGGAGGGGAUUGCGUCUGAUUAGCUAGUUGGAGGGGUAACGGCCCACCAAGGCGAUGAUCAGUAGCCGGUCUGAGAGGAUGAACGGCCACAUUGGGACUGAGACACGGCCCAGACUCCUACGGGAGGCAGCAGUGGGGAAUCUUCCGCAAUGGACGGAAGUCUGACGGAGCAACGCCGCGUGAGUGAUGACGGCCUUCGGGUUGUAAAGCUCUGUUAAUCGGGACGAAAGGCCUUCUUGCGAAUAGUGAGAAGGAUUGACGGUACCGGAAUAGAAAGCCACGGCUAACUACGUG